This is a long non-coding RNA of Manis javanica (Malayan pangolin), 460 nucleotides long. RefSeq lists it as uncharacterized. Lineage: Eukaryota; Metazoa; Chordata; Mammalia; Pholidota; Manidae. The record is from RefSeq and is a predicted model, not a curated record.
GGCUGCCCGUGGCCUUGAAGGGGACGCUGCUAGCAGUGUGGUCGGGAGCACGAGGCUCCAGUCUGAGAGCAGAGAAGAGAGAGUGGUUCUUACAUUGAUCUAAACCAGGCAUGAGCUCCAGAGAGGACAGCGAGGCCAGGAUGCCUGGUGGUAGUGGCCUCAGCUGGUGGUCACCAGAGCCGCUGUGAUGGGCCCUGGGCUUGACAGCUGGAGAUCAGAGGAAGGCUCACCAGAGUGACGACACAAGGCUGGAACGGAGGAAAUCAGGUCUCCCCCUCAGUGGUGGGCCAAGCCUGGUAAUCACUGUGAGACAAUGAGAGGAGCCGACCUCAUCAGGAGGAGCCCGGUUGGGACUGAAGAUUCAAUCAGACGGCAGGCGGGGCGAUGGGGGAAGCAGGCCCCAGCCCACUGCCUCCCAUCAGGGAAGGAGAGCGCUCAAAGGGCUCUGAAUUAAAAUCAA